GACAGAGGGUGCAAACGUUGUUCGGAAUUACUGGGCGUAAAGCGCGUGUAGGCUGCUCGGAAAGUCGGGUGUGAAAGCCCUGGGCUCAACCCAGGAAGUGCACUCGAAACUCCCGAGCUGGAGUCCCGGAGAGGAAGGCGGAAUUCUCGGUGUAGAGGUGAAAUUCGUAGAUAUCGAGAGGAACAUCUGUGGCGAAGGCGGCCUUCUGGACGGUGACUGACGCUGAGACGCGAAAGCGUGGGGAGCAAACAGG
This 253-nucleotide ribosomal RNA is filed under the name uncultured bacterium. Its description in RNAcentral is "partial 16S ribosomal RNA". It matches the Rfam family "Bacterial small subunit ribosomal RNA", at positions 524 to 776 of the family's 1533-position model. The record is from RNAcentral.